CAUCCACGCUUGCAUUAAGAGAGCAUGUUUAAGCAUGACACAACAAUCCUGAUUGGGAGUUGGAGGCAAUUCUUAACAUUUUACAAAUAACCGUUUAGCAUAACAAUUCUCACACCGCUAUUCUUCAUAUGCAUGGUUUUUCGUAGCAACAACCAAAUGUUAUUCAGGGCAAGGCCACCAUCGAGUGGUUUCUUGCUCCUAGCUCCACGCUACUCUUGAGAUGGCUGAAACAUGGAAGAGGUGUUGUUAUGUAAUGGUAUACUCUUUUGUGGUUGAGUCAGAACAGUGCACUAAAUUAUGGAAUGAUGCGGGCGAGAAAAGAAGAUGUAAGUGUAUAAUACUUGCGUAUUAUGUAUAGAUCAAAGGGAAAUUAAGGAGAAGGAGAAAGGAGCUUACUUGUCAAAUGCCUGCCACAUAGAUUUAGUUGUAUUGUAGCAGAACAACCACAGGAGAAUCAAGACAAUGCUGUCUAUUGUAAGUUAAGGACAAGCACCAGUACACCAUCAGGAAAAUGAUUCCAACAAUUAAUCAGAAGCCAAAAGGCAAGAUUACUGUAAUGUGUACUAGCAUAUACCCACGUUUUGAAUAGGGAUCAGGGCUCAGGGGCAGGGCCGGUGUGUGUGGCAGCUCAUGUGUGUAUGGCGGCUGUAGGCCGGUCAGUUUGGUCAAAUUUCUGAAUCCAGCCUAGCUACUCACCUACCUAACCUGGAGCAUGCUAAAUUGCCAGGCACAUGAGCAAAGCAAUAAGGUGACCUGAGCCACCUGUACUUACUGUGAUGGCAGCUCAGGUACAAAUGUUUACUUGGGAUAUCAUCUUUAUGAGACUUAACCAUCCGUGAACAAACCUAGAUUCUUUAAUUUGGACCUCUUCUUAAACUUUGGAGUGGAAUUUGGCCCCAAAUCAAGGAGACCAGCAGCGUAACCAAAUACUAAUUCCUUUGUUUUCUGAAGAAAGAACAAAUUGAACUUGGUUGUUUCAUUCAUGCUGACUGAUGGAGAUGCGAAACAUGCAGAACUUGGGACAAAAAGAUGGGAAGGGGGAUCAGAGAAAUUGAUGAGGCAGGAAACGAAGGAUACUGAAGAGGUAUCUCUCCCACCAAUCCAUGACGUAGAGGCCAACGGUGACGUUGUACAGGAACAGUUUCCUGCUGAUCCAGCUCAUCUCUUCUCCUCCCCUUUGCCUCUUGGUUCCCGCCAUUGGUUCCAAGCGAGCGAGAGAUGACGCUGCUAGCUGUUCGCUUGGAACUUGUCUGGAUUAUUUAUGCAGUAGUAGUGCAGGGAAGACGAAAGAGGGCUUGCGAUUGGUAUUUAUACAAGGGAAGAGGGACGGAGAAAGUGGUC
RNAcentral lists this long non-coding RNA (1341 nucleotides) under Setaria viridis. RNAcentral describes it as "long non-coding RNA (SVIR_LNC001595)". Lineage: Eukaryota; Viridiplantae; Streptophyta; Magnoliopsida; Poales; Poaceae. The record is from RNAcentral.